AUUGAACGCUGGCGGCAUGCUUUACACAUGCAAGUCGAACGGUAACAGGCCUUCGGGUGCUGACGAGUGGCGAACGGGUGAGUAAUGCAUCGGAACGUGCCCAGAGGUGGGGGAUAACGCAGCGAAAGCUGUGCUAAUACCGCAUGUGAUUUGAGGAUGAAAGCGGGGGACCAGGCAGCAAUGUUUGGCCUCGCGCCUUUGGAGCGGCCGAUGUCAGAUUAGGUAGUUGGUGGGGUAAAGGCCUACCAAGCCGACGAUCUGUAGCUGGUCUGAGAGGACGACCAGCCACACUGGGACUGAGACACGGCCCAGACUCCUACGGGAGGCAGCAGUGGGGAAUUUUGGACAAUGGGCGCAAGCCUGAUCCAGCAAUGCCGCGUGCGGGAAGAAGGCCUUCGGGUUGUAAACCGCUUUUGUACGGAACGAAAAGGCUCUGGCUAAUACCUGGGGCUGAUGACGGUACCGUAAGAAUAAGCACCGGCUAACUACGUG
RNAcentral lists this ribosomal RNA (492 nucleotides) under uncultured bacterium. RNAcentral describes it as "partial 16S ribosomal RNA". It matches the Rfam family "Bacterial small subunit ribosomal RNA", at positions 30 to 507 of the family's 1533-position model. The record is from RNAcentral.